GUGGCUGCACGGGCCAGGUAAAGCGUGCCGACACGGCUCGGAUACGGCUCGCUCGGAACGGCCCGGCUCGGGUGGCAGU
RNAcentral lists this microRNA precursor (79 nucleotides) under Petromyzon marinus (sea lamprey). RNAcentral describes it as "microRNA pma-mir-4581 precursor". The record is from miRBase by way of RNAcentral. Lineage: Eukaryota; Metazoa; Chordata; Hyperoartia; Petromyzontiformes; Petromyzontidae.